RNAcentral lists this ribosomal RNA (497 nucleotides) under uncultured bacterium. Its description in RNAcentral is "partial 16S ribosomal RNA". It matches the Rfam family "Bacterial small subunit ribosomal RNA", at positions 28 to 507 of the family's 1533-position model. The record is from RNAcentral.
GACGAACGCUGGCGGCGUGCCUAAUACAUGCAAGUAGAACGCUGAAGAGAGGAGCUUGCUCUUCUUGGAUGAGUUGCGAACGGGUGAGUAACGCGUAGGUAACCUGCCUUGUAGCGGGGGAUAACUAUUGGAAACGAUAGCUAAUACCGCAUAACAAUGGAUGACACAUGUCAUUUAUUUGAAAGGGGCAAUUGCUCCACUACAAGAUGGACCUGCGUUGUAUUAGCUAGUAGGUGAGGUAAUGGCUCACCUAGGCGACGAUACAUAGCCGACCUGAGAGGGUGAUUGGCCACACUGGGACUGAGACACGGCCCAGACUCCUACGGGAGGCAGCAGUAGGGAAUCUUCGGCAAUGGGGGCAACCCUGACCGAGCAACGCCGCGUGAGUGAAGAAGGUUUUCGGAUCGUAAAGCUCUGUUGUAAGUCAAGAACGGGUGUGAGAGUGGAAAGUUCACACUGUGACGGUAGCUUACCAGAAAGGGACGGCUAACUACGUG